This 344-nucleotide ribosomal RNA is filed under the name uncultured bacterium. Its description in RNAcentral is "bacterial SSU rRNA". It matches the Rfam family "Bacterial small subunit ribosomal RNA", at positions 32 to 365 of the family's 1533-position model. The record is from RNAcentral.
AAUCAACGCUGGCGGCGUGCCUCAGACAUGCAAGUCGAACGCGAAAGUCCCCUUCGGGGGAGUGAUUAGAGUGGCGCACGGGUGAGUAACACGUAGGUAAUCUACCUUCGAGUGGGGAAGUAACUCAGGGAAACGUUGAGCUAAUACCGCAUAAUGCAGCGGCACCACAUGGUGACAGUUGUUAAAGCAUUUAUGCGCUUGAAGAGGAGCCUGCGGCAGAUAGCUAGUUGGUAAGGUAAUGGCUUACCAAGGCUACGAUCUGUAACCGGCCUGAGAGGGCGGACGGUCACACUGACACUGAAUAACGGGUCAGACUCCUACGGGAGGCAGCAGUCGGGAAUUUU